This 382-nucleotide ribosomal RNA is filed under the name uncultured eukaryote. RNAcentral's name for it is "partial 18S ribosomal RNA". It matches the Rfam family "Eukaryotic small subunit ribosomal RNA", at positions 592 to 976 of the family's 1831-position model. The record is from RNAcentral.
UGUAAGCGUAUACCAAAGUUGUUGCAGUUAAAACGCUCGUAGUCGGAAUUUGGCAGUUCCGGAUGUGUGCACGUCGUGUGCGCACUUCGCGGGGAUUGCUUUUGUGGUCUUGCGUAGGAUGAGGCACUUUUAUUAGUGAACGUCCUCACGCAACCACUUUUUACUGUGAGAAAAUCAGAGUGCUCAAAGCAGGCAUUUGCCGUGAAUGUAUUAGCAUGGAAUAAUAGAAUAGGACUUGGUUCUAUUUUGUUGGUUUGUUGGGACUGAGUAAUGAUUAAGAGGGACAGGUGGGGGCAUUUGUAUUUCGGUGCUAGAGGUGAAAUUCUUAGAUUACCGAAAGACAAACUGCUGCGAAAGCGUCUGCCAAGGAUGUUUUCAUUGA